AGUGAACGCUGGCGGCGUGCUUGACACAUGCAAGUCGAACGAGAACGGAUAUAGCUUGCUAUAAUUGUCAGCUAAGUGGCGCACGGGUGAGUAAUGUAUAGGUAAUAUGCCUCUUACUAAGGGAUAACAAAUGGAAACGUUUGCUAAUACCUUAUACUCCUUAUUAACAGAAGUUAAUAAGGGAAAGAUUUAUUGGUAAGGGAUUAGCCUGUAUUGUAUCAGUUAGUUGGUGGGGUAAUGGCCUACCAAGACUAUGACACAUAACUGGUUUGAGAGGAUGAUCAGUCACACUGGAACUGAGACACGGUCCAGACUCCUACGGGAGGCAGCAGUGGGGAAUAUUGCACAAUGGACGAAAGUCUGAUGCAGCAACGCCGCGUGGAGGAUGACACAUUUCGGUGCGUAAACUGCUUUUAUCUGGGAAGAAAAAGCCCCUGCGGGGGAAACUGACGGUACCAGAGGAAUAAGCACCGGCUAACUCCGUGC
RNAcentral lists this ribosomal RNA (486 nucleotides) under uncultured bacterium. RNAcentral describes it as "partial 16S ribosomal RNA". It matches the Rfam family "Bacterial small subunit ribosomal RNA", at positions 29 to 508 of the family's 1533-position model. The record is from RNAcentral.